Molecule: small RNA, 77 nt
Filed under: Xanthomonas oryzae
Lineage: Bacteria; Pseudomonadati; Pseudomonadota; Gammaproteobacteria; Lysobacterales; Lysobacteraceae
Description: sX9
Rfam family: Xanthomonas sRNA sX9
Source: RNAcentral
GUGUACUACCCGUACGCGGCGGUUCUGAGCGCACCAUCCACGCCCAGCUGACGACUGCCCGUUACGGCGCGGUAGCG